This is a non-coding RNA of Podarcis lilfordi (Lilford's wall lizard), 96 nucleotides long. The record is from the annotation of a GenBank genome assembly. Lineage: Eukaryota; Metazoa; Chordata; Lepidosauria; Squamata; Lacertidae.
CCUCCUGAUGUUUUGAGACUACAAUUCCCCUCAUCCCUGACCACUGGUCCUGUUAGCUAGGGAUGAUGGGAGUUGUAGUCCCAAAACAUCUGGAGG